RNAcentral lists this ribosomal RNA (237 nucleotides) under uncultured bacterium. RNAcentral's name for it is "partial 16S ribosomal RNA". It matches the Rfam family "Bacterial small subunit ribosomal RNA", at positions 15 to 236 of the family's 1533-position model. The record is from RNAcentral.
GAUCCUGGCUCAGGAUGAACGCUGGCGGCGUGCCUAACACAUGCAAGUCGAACGAGAUGCGUAUUGGAAAGCUUCGGCCGGAAGAUACGUUAUCUAGUGGCGGACGGGUGAGUAACACGUGGGUAACCUGCCUUAUGGAGGGGGAUAACAGAGAGAAAUCACUGCUAAUACCGCAUAAGCACACAGUACCGCAUGGUACAGGGUGAAAAGAUUUAUCGCCAUAAGAUGGACCCGCGU